AGUGAACGCUGGCGGUAGGCCUAACACAUGCAAGUCGAACGGCAGCACAGUAAGAGCUUGCUCUUACGGGUGGCGAGUGGCGGACGGGUGAGGAAUACAUCGGAAUCUACUUUUUCGUGGGGGAUAACGUAGGGAAACUUACGCUAAUACCGCAUACGACCUACGGGUGAAAGCAGGGGAUCUUCGGACCUUGCGCGAUUGAAUGAGCCGAUGUCGGAUUAGCUAGUUGGCGGGGUAAAGGCCCACCAAGGCGACGAUCCGUAGCUGGUCUGAGAGGAUGAUCAGCCACACUGGAACUGAGACACGGUCCAGACUCCUACGGGAGGCAGCAGUGGGGAAUAUUGGACAAUGGGCGAAAGCCUGAUCCAGCAAUACCGCGUGAGUGAAGAAGGCCUUCGGGUUGUAAAGCCCUUUUGUUGGGAAAGAAAAGCAGCAGGUUAAUACCCCGCUGUUCUGACGGUACCCAAAGAAUAAGCACCGGCUAACUUCGUG
RNAcentral lists this ribosomal RNA (492 nucleotides) under uncultured bacterium. RNAcentral describes it as "partial 16S ribosomal RNA". It matches the Rfam family "Bacterial small subunit ribosomal RNA", at positions 29 to 507 of the family's 1533-position model. The record is from RNAcentral.